Long non-coding RNA from Maniola jurtina (meadow brown), 6076 nucleotides. RefSeq lists it as uncharacterized. The transcript has 2 exons. The record is from RefSeq and is a predicted model, not a curated record. Lineage: Eukaryota; Metazoa; Arthropoda; Insecta; Lepidoptera; Nymphalidae.
AUUAUACCUUUGUCAAUAUACGUUUCAUGACAAGACGUAUAUUGACAAAGGCAAUUAUUAUUGUCCGGAAGUAGUUGGAGUUUUCUUCGAGAGUCGGGCCAGCCCCGUCAAUAUUAUAAUAAUUAAUAACGGGCAGCCGUUAUUAUUCGUCAAAAUUGUAUGGUCUUUUUUGACAAAUCAACAACGUCGCUAAGUAACUUAUCGACAGAUUACGGAUAGAUUGAUGAUUAAUUUUGGGCGUUGAGAUUUGAGACGAGUCGUCCGAUUAUUGUUCUGAAUUAAUUAGCGACGAAUCGGACCAGUUUCCUUUCCAUAAGCCCUUGAUGAGACUUGGUACUCGUAACGAUAUUGCGAUCAUUGUGGCCGACACAAUCCUAUUGAUUUGACGAAUCGUGUUUUUUCGUCGCGUCGAGCUGCUCUCUCGUGUAGAUCCUUCGUCGCAUCUCAGUACGGUGACUCAAGACUGACCAGUCACGCGAUAACUAUCACUUCAGUCAAGACUGACUUGCAUUUUUAGAUAAAAAAUAGUUGAUUAUUGUAUAAACUUAGCACUACGGUUUAGAGAUUGUGUGCUGGGCCCUUAUUCGAUGUGACAUUCAAAUCGCAACACGCUCCUAACUGCCACUUGUGAUGUUAAGGUAGAAACGUACAGACGGUUAAACAGCUGUACUAUAUAUAAUUCAUCAAAUCCAGUGAAUGAUAAAGCAUAGAAACUGUGUUUCUACUUUCGAAGAAAUUGUUAUGAAAAUAGGGGCCACAGGCUCAUGUACAUGUUAAGUACGUAACUUCUAUUAAAUUUGCCUAAAUUACAAGUCUCGUGAUUGCUUCUGCGUGGCUUGCGACAUUGACCGCUGUUUCCUGUUGUCUGUUGUUGACAUUUCCGGAGUUACAAUCGAAUUACAGACGCGUGCGGAAGAGAUUGUGGUGCCUACCUUUACCCUGGCGGGCACUAGGGUGAGGUUUGGAGUGUACGGAAUAUUUCUAUGCUUUGUCGUCCAUUGAACAAAUCGUACAGCAAUGUAUGAGCGCGCACACAUAAGCAAUAUUAGCGUAUGAUAAAUCGUGAUAGCUAUUUUUUUUUAAUGACAGCCUAUCAUUAACCGCCCAUGCGUUUCUCUGACGUACCAGUUAUUUUAUUAUGGAGAAGAGGAAAGGCCUCAAAAUUAUUAGCGUAAUAUGUUGUGUUGAAUGAUCACAACAGAUAGCAAAAAAAAAAUUACGUCACUAAGUUUUGUGUCAAAAGUUCUACGGUUUGGGUGAUGAAUCAAAAUUCAAAGGUUCGAAUCCAACUCGUUGAACUAUCCUGCUCCAAACACUAGCUUUACGCUUUGUGGGAAGGAAACGGGACAAUUAGUCAUCAAGUCUAGUUGAAAAAGUUGCGAUUUCAAGGUCGCAGAGAAUCAGGGCCCUAACGGCCUUUCCUUGCUCUCUUUGAUUUGAACAAAUGCGCUUUGGCGAUGACCUCUGUAAGCUUAGUACAACACAUCUCGUCAACGUUGACAUGCUACAAGUAUUACGCUAAUGUCAUAGCAAAAUGGGUCUACACUCAGUUGUUUUAAGGUUUUAAUUUGUCUGUACAUUUAUCGCCAGCGCCCCAAGACAUGAAUCCGUAGUUACUAAAAAAUCUACUUUAAACUUUUACAUUACGGUCCAUUUUACUGUGACAUUAUAGUGUUUUGAUUUGCGCGUGCGCGUUGGUGAGGUGUGCAAAGUUGUAUAAUGCUCAGAUUUUGAAAACGCACUUGCCAUUUGCUCUUGCUCUAUCCCAUAUCAAAAGUACGGUUUACCCUUAGAUAAGGGACUAAAAUAAUACUAAUAACCUAACUAUUGUACGACGUACUGGGAAAAUUCAAUAGUAGUUCUGAAACCGAGCCACCUCCUUCGUGUUUUAUUGCUACGCGGCAUUGGCGAAGUAAAUUGUGCUGUGGUGGCUCUACCAAAAGCCACUAAACCAAGAAACAACAACAAAAUCGUCCUUUUGAUAUGACAGAGCAAACAUGGCAAGUGCGUUCUCAAAAUGUAUGCAGUAUACUACCGUACGCGCAUACAGAGCUCUGCCGUCGAUCAAUCAAGUGUAGUUUCAGAAGGCCAAGGGUACCUCACUUGUAUGUCAUUGGUGUUAUCGAUUUUAGUACCAUCAGAUUGUCAAAGACGAUAUGAUAUACGAAAAUAUUAUGUAAGAAUGUAAGGUAAGGCCCUAUAGGAGAGAUAUUUUUUUAUGCAUUACAAGAAAUUUUCUUACAUUGCCUAUUUGUAGUUUAAAAAAAGUAAUAUAAAAUCUUAAAGAGGGUCUAUUCGGUCAGACCAUUCUACAACCGAACUAAAGCGGCUAAAAUGUUGCCAGGCCAGUGGUCAAGUCACGAAUUACUUAAGGUUGGAGUUCCUUGUUGCAUUAUAAACGUAUCGUAUACGCACUGCGUAUGCAAAUCGCAACCGUCGCCGAGUAUGACGUUACGCAGUGCGUUUGUGCGCGCUAAAAACCCGGUACUUCAGUAGUAAUCGACUUUCAUUGCGUGCAAUAGGGAUGGAUGGUACCUAUUAGUGAAAUCAGCAAAUUUUCAUCAAGCGUUUUGAACGCUCGCUUAGUAAGGUAGCUUUUAUGAAAAACAGAUGUGACGUCAUAAACAUUUGACGUACUUUUUUAAGUUAAAUCGAAUUUUCGCUCUAUAUUAAUAAUUAAUAAGAAAUAAUUUAUUUUUGACACAGGCAUCAUCCCAAAUUGUGCAUUGCGUCCAUGCGUUUCGUUCAUACGCAUCAAGGAUCUCCCUAGUGAUAAUAUGGUGACCGUGAAGUGGUUUGACGCUUGCGUGCGAGUGGUAUUGGCCAUACGUUUGCGACAACGGACUGCAAACUUUGGUAUAACGCUUGCCAAUAAAGGAAUUAAAUGAGUGGUGCUAAUCAUUCGAUAUCUCACUUACACAGUAUGCCUACAUACCUGUGUAACUGUAUAGUGUGAGUGAGACGGAAUGAUUAGCACAGUUUCGUUUCGAUUCGUUUGUUUAUUGGAACGAAUAUGUGUAAUAAUGAAUUGACGUUUCCAUACAGUGGCCGGCGACAUGUGCCGCUUAUGGGGCUGUGGUUCUGGCACGUUUGACAGAACUUCGGACUUAGGCUGUUCGACUGUAUCAGGUGAAAAUGUUAUUUUCUCAAAUCGAAAAUGUACAUUCUCCACGAAAUUGCGCAUAAUCGUUAUUGUUGGUGAAGUUUUUUUUUUAUACUUGCAGCUUGUAAUCAAGUCUUUUUUUUAUUUAUAAAAACGGGCUAAAGUAUUUGUGAAGGCAUCGGAUACGUGGUGUAAAAUAAAAUACUUUAGUAAUGAGAACAAUAUUUUUCUUUAUCAAGUCUUUGUAACUGCAUAUGAAAAUCCUUUAUUUUUAACAAGUCAUAUUAUUCUGCUGAGCUGGUCGAAAAAAUGCCAGUUGUAUUUCGUUGGAAUAAGUAUUUUACUAGGAUACAUUUUAGAGCUAUUACGUUAUUAUUUUUACAACUAAGAGGGGACUCUUAUCAAAAACUUGUCGUCGCACUGCGCUCUACCUGCCCCCGUAAAGUACGAAAGGGACAACAGCAGCAAGAUUUUACCUACAAAAACCUUGACCAAAAAACGUUUCGUAUUCCGCUGAUUUCUUCUGCAAAACUGAAACGAUCCCGAAAAUUCUUAUAUCAAAAUUUAGAGGAAAAGUUUUUUUGGGUAAAAUCAUUGCUCUAGAGGCAUUAUCCGCGAAGAAAACAGCGGAAUGCGUUUGUAUGAAGAAAGGCCCAAUAGAGUCCCCUCUUAAAACUGAAUUUGUAUAUAGAAGUUUGCGCGUCGCGUUUACACGGUAGGAAAACUGACAUUCAGAAAAUUCUUAAUGUUCCUUCGACUGUAUAGUUCGCAUGAUAGUAAGGUAUGGCGAACGUAUACAUGCACGCACGCACGCAAAAAUAAGCGUGCGUCUGCGCAACUAUGUAAGUUGACGUUUAGGAAAUUCGUAUCCCUAAGAUCGGUAUCUGUGUUCCUUUUAAGUAACAUGUUCGCACGAAAAAAUGGGAAGAAACGUACCUACACGCACCGCGCACGCAAAAGCUAGUAUGCGUUGGUUUUUUUUUAAUUGAUCGAAUCGAUUUGACAGUUUGUAGAUAUUGCAAAAAAUGAGCAACAAAUCAUUUCCUACAUCCCAUACAUUUAGUCGUUUAGUUUUAUUUUGAAUCGUUAGAAAUUAGUAUAUGUAUGUUAAAUUUUUACAAAACCUUGCCCCUUAUUUUUGAGCCGAUCAAGAAUAGACCUCGUGUGACCUAUAUAACUCUCCUACCGUGUCAACGCGGCUAUGAAUCAUUUUAUAAAAAAAAAUAUUUCUUUGGUCUGAACUACACGUGGUUAUGUCUAGUUUUGCAAAUGCUAACUAGUUGCUGUAAAGGCGCCAGGUAAAGAGAACUCUGAACUUGUACCUGCGCAGUGGGUGAUGUACCUAUUUGGUGCCACGAAGUGCCUCGCUGUGCUAUUCGAUCGUUAAUCAAUUGUGCGAUCCCUUGAUAUAGGAAAGUACGAUACCCAUGCGCAGACAUAUCCAGUGUUGUAUAGUAUGAAAUCGAGCGUCGAAACAUUUCAGCGUUAAAGUAAAAUGGAUUUUAAUUUUCCUUGCUUUAAAGAUUAAUUUCGUUCAUACGUCUACAGGCAGCGCUCUAAGUGGAAACAUUGUGAAAUUAAAAUCGGUAGUACUGAAUUUUUGACAUUAAAUCAAGGAUCUUUCGGUCCAUUUUCCGUUGUUGUGUUUAGUUAAGACGUUCAAAAUUCAUCAACGUUAAGAUGUCAAAUGUCAUACUAAGCACAGCUCUUUUUUUACAUUUAUUAUAGUGUCUGCAUAAUUAUUUGUAUGACAAAUUAAUUACCUUUUGUAUAUCUUAUCUUGGCGAUAUCUUACAGGUAUAACGAUGUCUAUCUAACCGCUUGAUUGAGCUGACUCGUGCAGGUUGCGGAAGGGUGAUGGUGACUGUAGAUAAUUAAUUCCUUGAUUUCUUCUUUAACUGUCAUCCUCAAGCGCCUGCCUAUCUCACGAGCCGUCUCAGUGAAACGGCAUACCUAUAGGAAGUAACUUUUGCAAAACUCAUAAGGCAGAUCCACACUUGCGCACGCGCACGAACCGUGCACACAAAGGGCAACAUAGUACAAUGUGGCCGUUGGACGUGUCCACGAGGCUUUGCGAGCGGUUCGCGUGCAUGUUUGCGUUUUUUUUAAUUUUUGACAGUGAAUACAAACAUGAUAUUAUACAAUGUAACCAGAACGCUAGCAAAAACAUAGCGUUAUUAUUAUACUACCUUAACACAAUCCAAUGCCAAUUUGCCUUAUCUUGUAGUUUUAGUGAUUUAGAAUUUUUCAAAACCAUAUCGUAUAGCGAGCAAAACUCGGAUCAAUGCCCCACCUACGACGCGGCAUUGACUUCGAGUGACCUAUUUACGGAACGUUCGUUGACCUCUAGCGCCAGUCAGAUGUUUUAUUUGCAAUAUAUAUUGUGAACUUUAUAAAAUACAAGAUGUUUUUUUAGUUUUUUCUAUGGUGGUCUUCAUUUUUGCUAGCGUUCUGGUUACAAACAUGUAUGCGUUCGCGACAUACACGUGCGCCCAGAGAUAGUGAUGCGUCCAUAGACGUUUGAUGCGCAUGCGUGUACGGCUAGUGGUGCGCGUGCGCAGGCGUGGAUCCACCUAUAGACCAUACUGUAGACGACUUGUGUAGUCCAAAACCAAAUCCUAAUACAGUUGGGUCAUGACUCAUGACAAAUUAAGUGUUUUAUAGUGUAAGUACUAAAUUAACUUUUUUUAAUUAUUAUUUUUCACGGGGCAAGGGUUGGCUCAAAAUCUGAGAGUUGAUAUUAAGUACAGAAGUUGUAUAUACCUACGUAAGAAUUUGGAUAUAGACGGAUGUUAGUUGUAAAACUUAAUAAUCCACAUUUGUGCAAUUUUUCUACGUGUAUUAUUAUUUUGUUUGUGUCAAUGUGCGAACAUUACCGAAUUAAAAUAGCAUUGGCUCUUGGAUUUAAAAAAAAAUGUGAAUGCAGUAAACUAUUUAAUAACAAUCUGUCGAAUUAAAAUCUGUACAAAAGAA